RNAcentral lists this ribosomal RNA (611 nucleotides) under Cellulosimicrobium funkei. Its description in RNAcentral is "bacterial SSU rRNA". It matches the Rfam family "Bacterial small subunit ribosomal RNA", at positions 240 to 861 of the family's 1533-position model. Lineage: Bacteria; Bacillati; Actinomycetota; Actinomycetes; Micrococcales; Promicromonosporaceae. The record is from RNAcentral.
AUCAGCUUGUUGGUGGGGUGAUGGCCUACCAAGGCGACGACGGGUAGCCGGCCUGAGAGGGCGACCGGCCACACUGGGACUGAGACACGGCCCAGACUCCUACGGGAGGCAGCAGUGGGGAAUAUUGCACAAUGGGCGAAAGCCUGAUGCAGCGACGCCGCGUGAGGGAUGAAGGCCUUCGGGUUGUAAACCUCUUUCAGCAGGGAAGAAGCGCAAGUGACGGUACCUGCAGAAGAAGCGCCGGCUAACUACGUGCCAGCAGCCGCGGUAAUACGUAGGGCGCAAGCGUUGUCCGGAAUUAUUGGGCGUAAAGAGCUCGUAGGCGGUUUGUCGCGUCUGGUGUGAAAACUCGAGGCUCAACCUCGAGCUUGCAUCGGGUACGGGCAGACUAGAGUGCGGUAGGGGAGACUGGAAUUCCUGGUGUAGCGGUGGAAUGCGCAGAUAUCAGGAGGAACACCGAUGGCGAAGGCAGGUCUCUGGGCCGCAACUGACGCUGAGGAGCGAAAGCAUGGGGAGCGAACAGGAUUAGAUACCCUGGUAGUCCAUGCCGUAAACGUUGGGCACUAGGUGUGGGGCUCAUUCCACGAGUUCCGUGCCGCAGCAAACGCAUU